UACGUAGGGGGCUAGCGUUGUUCGGAUUCAUUGGGCGUAAAGGGUGCGUAGGUGGCGUGGUAAGUCGGGUGUGAAAUUUCGGAGCUUAACUCCGAAACUGCAUUCGAUACUGCUGUGCUUGAGGACUGGAGAGGAGACUGGAAUUUACGGUGUAGCAGUGAAAUGCGUAGAGAUCGUAAGGAAGACCAGUGGCGAAGGCGGGUCUCUGGACAGUUCCUGACACUGAGGCACGAAGGCCAGGGGAGCAAACGGG
This 253-nucleotide ribosomal RNA is filed under the name uncultured bacterium. RNAcentral describes it as "partial 16S ribosomal RNA". It matches the Rfam family "Bacterial small subunit ribosomal RNA", at positions 524 to 776 of the family's 1533-position model. The record is from RNAcentral.